AGAGUUUGAUCAUGGCUCAGAUUGAACGCUGGCGGCACGCCUAACACAUGCAAGUCGAGCGGUAACAUGUUUAGUAGCAAUACUGAAUGAUGACGAGCGGCGGACGGGUGAGUAAUACGUAGGAAUCCUGCCCUUAAGCGGGGGACAACCAAGGGAAACUUUGGCUAAUACCGCAUAAUCUCUAACGAGCAAAGCUGCCGCAAGGUGGCACUUAAGGAGGGGCCUGCGUCCGAUUAGCUAGUUGGUAGGGUAAAAGCCUACCAAGGCGAUGAUCGGUAACUGGUCUGAGAGGACGACCAGUCACACUGGGACUGAGACACGGCCCAGACUCCUACGGGAGGCAGCAGUGGGGAAUCUUGGACAAUGGGGGCAACCCUGAUCCAGCGAUGCCGCGUGGGUGAAGAAGGCCUUCGGGUUGUAAAGCCCUUUAGGUUGGGACGAAGGUUGCUAUCGGAUAAUGGUAGUAACUUGACGGUACCAGCAGAAUAAGCACCGGCAAACUCUGUGCCAGCAGCCGCGGUAAUAC
This 526-nucleotide ribosomal RNA is filed under the name uncultured bacterium. Its description in RNAcentral is "bacterial SSU rRNA". It matches the Rfam family "Bacterial small subunit ribosomal RNA", at positions 8 to 526 of the family's 1533-position model. The record is from RNAcentral.